This is a long non-coding RNA of Salvelinus sp. IW2-2015, 516 nucleotides long. RefSeq lists it as uncharacterized. The record is from RefSeq and is a predicted model, not a curated record. Lineage: Eukaryota; Metazoa; Chordata; Actinopteri; Salmoniformes; Salmonidae.
GGCAGGUGACCGAUUCACAAGUUAUACAUCUUGGUUGUGUGGAAUAGCCGGGAGCUGAAAACUGAAAGACACAAGAACAUCGGCUGUCAGUGCAUAGCGCUGGAGGCUGCAGGGUGGCAGUGUGUUGUGGGGAGUUCCUGAGAUCGCAGAAGAGACAGAGGGGGACUGGCACUCACUCACGUAGAGUCACAAACACAUCCUCUCUGCGUAGUGGUGGGCUGUGUUGCCAGCUAGUGUCUCAGGGAUUGUGCGUGCGGUGGUACAGAACAGUAGGAUGGUGGCUGUGUGGUUGCCGUGGGGAUGGGCCUGGAGGACUGUACUGCUGGUGACUGGACUGGCUUCACUGAGCCCCGGGACUGAUGCCAAUGUGUUGGAUACCAUAGUGCUACUGAGGAACCCUGUAAGAGACAGGUCAGACAGCAGGAAGGAGGAGGGUGGGAGUACAGCCCCGGCUCCAGCACAGAGGAUCCUCUGGUGUCACUGUUACCCUCACUGUUCUGAAGACUCCAACAAUAC